ACAAAUCGUUGUUGCAAAUAGCAAUAUUUGCACAUUCACCCUACCUGGCGGUCUAACCGCUGGGUUUGGUUUUGCAGCGCAUCAUGUGUUGCACAUAGACGCUUGAUUGUUUGACAGUUCAAUUGAUUCAAAAAACAAAAGA
RNAcentral lists this unclassified non-coding RNA (142 nucleotides) under uncultured fungus. Its description in RNAcentral is "sequence contains ITS1". The record is from RNAcentral. Lineage: Eukaryota; Fungi.